This 254-nucleotide ribosomal RNA is filed under the name uncultured bacterium. Its description in RNAcentral is "partial 16S ribosomal RNA". It matches the Rfam family "Bacterial small subunit ribosomal RNA", at positions 524 to 776 of the family's 1533-position model. The record is from RNAcentral.
UACGGGGGGGGCAAGCGUUGUUCGGAAUUACUGGGCGUAAAGGGCGCGUAGGCGGCCUCUGCAAGUCGACUGUGAAAUCUCCGGGCUUAACCCGGAAAGGUCAGCCGAUGCUGCGGGGCUAGAGUGCAGAAGGGGCAACUGGAAUUCUCGGUGUAGCGGUGAAAUGCGUAGAUAUCGAGAGGAACACCUGCGGCGAAGGCGGGUUGCUGGGCUGACACUGACGCUGAGGCGCGAAAGCUAGGGGAGCGAACGGG